GGGGACUGGAGUUGGGAAACCCUGGUUUAGUACGCCCAUUUAUACUGUUGUAGAAAACCGUAAUCUACAAUUGGAUUAUUGAUCUGAAUAUCAAAGCCAAUAAGGAAAUUGCGAUCUGGCCAAGCCCAUAGUUUCUAGGACACUACCACAACAGUACAAUUAGUGCUACUUCGGUUCCUUGCUGAGAAUAAUACUGUAUAACAUCUGUGGGCAUGCUGUAGUGUUUAGCUGGAGAAAGGGGUUUGUGUAGCAUUCACACAAUGCUUUGAUGUUGCCCUGAAUGCUGAUAUAAACUUGUUAUGGUAACAGUUUUGAUUGAACCAGCUUUCAAUUGCAUUUCCUUCAUUUCCAUAUUUCUUUUUACACAAACUUUUGUCAAAAUGGGAUUGUAGUAAAUGCAGAGUGAACACAUUGCACAUAUAAAAUGAGGAACAAAAUAAAGUGCCUUUUUUUUUCCAUUAUAGUCCUUUGUGCCAAAAUAGUUUAAAUGAAACGCAAUGUACUUAGGAAUUUAAAUACACAUUUAUCCCCCCACCAACACAAACAUACAAGUUUUUUUGAAAUGAUUUUGAUUUGAAUUUCAUUUUAAUCUGCAGGUCCUUCCCCCCAAAAACUUGACACUUCCUAGAUAUAAUAAACUGCACAUCACUAGUCUUGCUAGAUGAACAUGUUUUGCAAAUACAUUUCAUUUUCAGAAGUAAUGCAAUUAAAUGAAUGCAAACAGGACAGAAACACUCCACUGAUUGGACAAAAUACAAACCAUUGUGCAUUUAUAAGGCAAAUACAUGGAGGUUGGUUUCAACUAGGCAUUUCAUUACCAUUCAGCAGAAAAAUAAAUCACACGAUCGUAAAUCUUGAAACCCUGUCCUAUCUAACGUGUUUGUCCAGAGUUCAUGCUUAUCACAUUUUCUGAUUUCCCCCAAAAAACAUUUCACUUCAGUCUUCCUGGAGAUUUUGCAUAUUUUACCACUGCACAGAUCCUGAUUUCAGGUGAUAAGGUGUAAGUAGUCAAAUGGUAAAUCUGGGCUCCAGUUGAACUGAGAUUGAAUGUGAUCACUACAUUUGUAUUGAAUAUUCAGUUGCAUUGAGAAGAGAAACAUCUAAGCAUUUUUCAACUGCAAUUUAUUUAGCAAAUCUUGCUUUUAAAAUGUAGACUCAUCAUGAAAAUGCAUAGAAAAAGCAUUCACAUGUGCCUUGCUAACAUGUUCUGAUAGAAAAGGCCAUCAGAAAGUGCUUUAAAUGGUUUGGUGGGAAUUCUCAUUUAAGAUGUGCUUUAGGUAAAUCAUGCAAACCUCCCAUACAGUUAAAAUUAUAUCAGCUACCUAGCCCAUAAACUUCUCUUUUCCUUGCCUUGUGCCGCCAGUAGAAGAUAUUAAGUGUGAUAUUGACUGGCUGUUCUGAGCCUACAGUGUGAUAAAACACAGACUGUAUGUACUCAUGAAGGGAAAGUAUUCAGGAUGAGAUCUUAUUCAUUGUGUUAUGACUGCGCUUCAGAUAGGAUAUCACGAAAUGACCCAAGAGGUUGGCAACUAUGGGUCCCUGGACCAUAUUCAAAAUAGAUCUAUUGCAAUUAAAAUAAGAAAAUAUGGUUUAUAGUAUACAACAGUCGACAUUGAGCACUGCAACUGACUAGCUGUCAAAUUCUUUUAAAUAUUCUGUUUUGACUUUUUUCUUACAGGACUGAUCUUACAGUAAUGAAAGUGUUGGAGAUUGAGUAUGAUGUGGUUGGUGGUAUACUUCAAGUAUAUGAAGGGUUUAUUGAACAGCGCCAAGUCUUUUCAAAAGAUUCUUCCCUUUGAAGAGCAGACCCUUCUUUUUGGAGGACAUGUCGCAGGGGCCCCUGAUGGGACUGCCAGGCCCUAUGGUACAAGGGCCAGAGCCGGGGAUGUGUUGGUGCACUGUGGGGGAGGUGGUUCUUCUGGGCGGACCCGAUUUUUCCAAUGGAACCUAAUGGGAGACCCGUAAGGGACAGUUCAGGGGGGUUAAAAAGCCAGCCCUCUCGCACCUCCGUCACUACUCCCCUCCACUCAGUCCUUUGUCCCCAGGCCACCACACCUUUGGCUUCAUCAGUCUAUCUCUCUCAUAGCACAGCCCCGUUCAACUUGUCAGAGCUCGGAUGACUGUGCACUCUUUCAUCAAGCUGAUUUCAAUACCGGAGGAUAUGUCCACAUACUAUAGCUCUUUUUAACAACACAUUUUAUGCUGAGAUUCUCCAAAAUGGCUAUCAAUAGCAAAGGCCAUGCCUUUCACAAACAAAAAAAGAGAUACAAUAUUGUAUUAACAUAAUGGGACAACAUAUUACAGCGUUUUUUUCUUUUUAAAUAUCAAGGGCAUUCAUUCAUGACAACUGGGUUACAGUGAAACAUCUAAUAUCUAAAUAUUCCUUAAUUGUAAUCAUGAGCUAAAAGGCUUCCUUUAAAUUGCACUUGGAAAUAUGUAUUUUUAAGACCCCAUUAAAGGAGAAUUUCAGUAAUUUAAGAGUUGAUGUCACAUUAGAUGGUUCCACAGCCUGAAGUUAGUCUAUGGGCCAAGUGAAAGUGCAUCCAUGGUUCAGAUUUCAUUAAACAGCCAAUACAAACUUCCGCUAACUUUAUUUGGAUGUAGGCUACAGCAUUCUCUGUUCAAAUGUAGAAUAUAUUGUAGUAAAAGGAGUAGAGCACAGUCUAUGCACAUUGCAUUGGAGCAAAACAAGUGCAACUAUGGCAAACAACCAGGCGUUUUAGGCUUAGCUAUUGUGACCUUGGGUGAUCACUGCUGUUACGUCUGGUUAUGCAUCCUAGAAACAUUUAUCAAAGUCAACAUUGUUCUGCGGAAUAAUUUAGACCACAGUACCACUAGCGGGACAUUUAAUCUAUGUUUUAUGAAUACAAAAAUCCCACACCCUCAUGCCAUAACAUUUAUCCUCUGUCAAAACAUUCUAGUCAAUAUUCUGACAGUUUGUUGCUAAGCUAAAGUGGCAUAUUUUGGUAUUUAUCUAUUUUUUCCCCCCAAAAGUGUUGUAAUCUGCUUUUGAAAUCUGACACAUGUAGGGGUUCAGUUAAUAGAUGGUGCUUUUGAAAAUUUUGCCUGAUUUAUAUACAUAAAUGUUAAUUGCUAUUGCUAUUACAGUGUUGUGUUGUCAAAAUUAAAACAGGAAAAUGUUGCAUAGCUGUUCAACAACACAUUUGUAGAGACUGAUCUACUAUUCUUUUUUAAUUUCUGCAUCUACAUCAUUUUGCUGAAUAGACUGUUACAUUUAAAUUUACACUGUCUUGCAUGUUUUUUAAAUGCUGCCUAAAUAGACUGCCUGUUUGUUUUUAAUAGACUACUGUUGACAACAGACACAUUUGUUGUAGCCUACAACAUGCCGAAGUGUAUAGAGUAUGGGGAGAAAUGAGUGGUAGACUUCACAUAGCUGCAGUUAUUUCUGACGUUAAUAAAUAUGAGGCUGGAUAUGAUCUACAACAUGUCAAUCAAAUCAUCAGUUAAGAGAUAAACGUAAAGUAGAUAUGCAUGAAAAAUGAAGGGAAAAGGGAGACAAACACAUGCACAGAACCUCAUCUGAACGAUGGAUUGCCAUUUCUCUUGGCUUUUUUCAGGGCAAGGAACUAUCAUGAAAUGAUAGUUUAACAUGAGCCUCUAGUCUCUAAUCCUGUAGUAUAUAGCUACAGUAACACAUCCAGAUCUAUACACGGGUAAUAUUAUUCUGCACAUUGAAUAUAGGUUUUGUAAUGUAGAGGGGGUAAAUGUUUAAAUUUACAGUUUUUGAUACAAUUAAUCAGUUUUCAUCAAUGUCUUCUAUGUAGAUGGCACCCAGCUUUAAAAAAGUUGUAUUUAC
Molecule: long non-coding RNA, 3817 nt
Organism: Esox lucius (northern pike)
Lineage: Eukaryota; Metazoa; Chordata; Actinopteri; Esociformes; Esocidae
Source: Ensembl